AUAUUAUGCACAAACUUAUGUCGGUCGGUCAUCCACAGUCAAACGGUGAGAUGGAAGUAACCAACCGAACAAAUCUACACGGGCUAUAAACCUGACUAAAUGAAGCCAAAGGCCUCUGGAUAGAAAAAUUAUAUUCGAUCUUAUGGACAUAUCGAAUGACUCUCCACAUACCAACUGGAGAAUCUCCUUUCAACUUAACUUAUGGGACAGAAGCAAUGAUACCGCUU
This 227-nucleotide long non-coding RNA is filed under the name Elaeis guineensis (African oil palm). Its description in RNAcentral is "long non-coding RNA (EGUI_LNC031212)". Lineage: Eukaryota; Viridiplantae; Streptophyta; Magnoliopsida; Arecales; Arecaceae. The record is from RNAcentral.